GGGUCAGUAGGUUGGUCGUGCCACCGGUACGUACUGGUCUCACUGAUUCCUCCUUCCUGAAGAACCGUAAUGCCAUUAAUUUGGUGUUGCGGGGAGACAGGACUGUUACUUUGAAAAAAUUAGAGUGUUUAAAGCAAGCUAACGCUUGAAUACAUUAGCAUGGAAUAAUGAAAUAGGACGAUCGAUCCUAUUUUGUUGGUUUCUAGGAUUGACAUA
Molecule: ribosomal RNA, 216 nt
Filed under: Glomeromycotina sp.
Lineage: Eukaryota; Fungi; Glomeromycota
Description: partial small subunit ribosomal RNA
Rfam family: Eukaryotic small subunit ribosomal RNA (bases 40-216)
Source: RNAcentral